UACGAAGGGUGCAAACGUUGCUCGGAAUUAUUGGGCGUAAAGCGCACGUAGGCGGCUUAGCAAGUCGGAAGUGAAAUCCCUCGGCUCAACCAAGGAAGUGCUUUCGAAACUGCUGAGCUUGAGUACUUAAGAGGAUCGCGGAGUUCCCGGUGUAGAGGUGAAAUUCGUAGAUAUCGGGAGGAACACCAGUGGCGAAGGCGGCGAUCUGGGAAGAUACUGACGCUGAGGUGCGAAAGCGUGGGGAGCAAACAGG
Molecule: ribosomal RNA, 253 nt
Filed under: uncultured bacterium
Lineage: Bacteria
Description: partial 16S ribosomal RNA
Rfam family: Bacterial small subunit ribosomal RNA
Source: RNAcentral